Molecule: ribosomal RNA, 253 nt
Filed under: uncultured bacterium
Lineage: Bacteria
Description: partial 16S ribosomal RNA
Rfam family: Bacterial small subunit ribosomal RNA
Source: RNAcentral
UACGAAGGGGGCUAGCGUUGCUCGGAAUGACUGGGCGUAAAGGGCGCGUAGGCGGACGGCACAGUCACGCGUGAAAUUCCUGGGCUUAACCUGGGGACUGCGUCUGAGACGUGUGAUCUAGAGUGAGGAAGAGGGUCGUGGAAUUUCCAGUGUAGAGGUGAAAUGCGUAGAUAUUGGAAAGAACACCGGUGGCGAAGGCGGCGACCUGGUCCUUGACUGACGCUGAGGCGCGAAAGCGUGGGGAGCAAACAGG